This 364-nucleotide ribosomal RNA is filed under the name Calanoida sp. USNM IZ 1448878. RNAcentral's name for it is "SSU rRNA". It matches the Rfam family "Eukaryotic small subunit ribosomal RNA", at positions 51 to 414 of the family's 1831-position model. The record is from RNAcentral. RNAcentral also lists the same sequence under 1 other name. Lineage: Eukaryota; Metazoa; Arthropoda; Copepoda; Calanoida.
AUGCAUGUCUAAGUACAAGCCUCACUAAGGUGAAACCGCGAAUGGCUCAUUAAAUCACACCUAAUCUACUGGAUAGUUAACAGUUACUUGGAUAACUGCGGUAAUUCUGGAGCUAAUACAUGCACAAAGCCCCAAACUUACGUGAGGGGCGCUUUUAUUAGAUCAAAACCAAACGGCUUCGGCUGUUCUCUUGGUGACUCUGAAUAACUUUGGGCUGAUCGCAUAGCCUAGCGCUGGCGACAUAUCCUUCGAAGGUGUGCCCUAUCAACUGUCGACUGUGGCAUAGACGCCCACAGUGGUUUUGACGGGUAACGGGGAAUCAGGGUUCGAUUCCGGAGAGGGAGCCUUAAAAACGGCUACCACA